GCCCUACUUUUCUUAAACUCGUGUAUUACUUAUCUAGUGAAUUAAAAGCCCUGCGAUUUAGAUUUAACAGGAUGUUGCAACUUUGAAUAAAUGUUAUUUAGAAUUUAAAACUCUCUGGUAGAUGUGAUCUUUUUAAUAAGUUUGCCCCAAGCAGAAGGUAUUGCUUUAUAAAUCACCACAAAUCAGAAGAACUAUUUUAAUAAUUUCUAAUGUUUCAUCCCUUUUUGAUAUAUUUAUAUAGUGUAUAUCAAAAGGAAUAAAACAUUAAAGGAAUUAUAUUAAUAUUUUAUAUAUACUUUUUCCC
Molecule: long non-coding RNA, 304 nt
Filed under: Mytilus galloprovincialis (Mediterranean mussel)
Lineage: Eukaryota; Metazoa; Mollusca; Bivalvia; Mytilida; Mytilidae
Source: RNAcentral